This 402-nucleotide ribosomal RNA is filed under the name uncultured bacterium. RNAcentral describes it as "bacterial SSU rRNA". It matches the Rfam family "Bacterial small subunit ribosomal RNA", at positions 356 to 773 of the family's 1533-position model. The record is from RNAcentral.
GGGGAAUAUUGCACAAUGGGGGAAACCCUGAUGCAGCGACGCCGCGUGAGCGAAGAAGUAUUUCGGUAUGUAAAGCUCUAUCAGCAGGGAAGAAUAAAUGACGGUACCUGACUAAGAAGCACCGGCUAAAUACGUGCCAGCAGCCGCGGUAAUACGUAUGGUGCAAGCGUUAUCCGGAUUUACUGGGUGUAAAGGGAGCGCAGGCGGUUCGGCAAGUCUGAUGUGAAAGCCCGGGGCUCAACACCGGUACUGCAUUGGAAACUGUCGAACGAGAGUGUCGGAGGGGUAAGUGGAAUUCCUAGUGUAGCGGUGAAAUGCGUAGAUAUUAGGAGGAACACCAGUGGCGAAGGCGACUUACUGGACGAUAACUGACGCUGAGGCUCGAAAGCGUGGGGAGCAAAC